RNAcentral lists this ribosomal RNA (486 nucleotides) under uncultured bacterium. Its description in RNAcentral is "bacterial SSU rRNA". It matches the Rfam family "Bacterial small subunit ribosomal RNA", at positions 28 to 507 of the family's 1533-position model. The record is from RNAcentral.
GAUGAACGCUAGCGGCAGGCCUAACACAUGCAAGUCGAGGGGCAUCGCGUGCAGCAAUGCACUGGCGGCGACCGGCGUACGGGUGCGUAACGCGUAUGCAACCUGCCCCGCACCGGGGGAUAGCCCGGCCGAAAGGCGGAUUAAUACCCCAUGGUCCCGGGGGCCCGCAUGGGCAUCCGGGUAAAGCCUUGGCGGUGCGGGAUGGGCAUGCGUGCCAUUAGCUGGCUGGUGGGGUAACGGCCCACCAGGGCAACGAUGGCUAGGGGGUCUGAGAGGAUGGUCCCCCACACUGGUACUGAGACACGGACCAGACUCCUACGGGAGGCAGCAGUGAGGAAUAUUGGUCAAUGGGCGGAAGCCUGAACCAGCCAUGCCGCGUGCGGGAUGAAGGCCCUACGGGUUGUAAACCGCUUUUCCCCGGGAAGAAUAACCCCGAUGAGUCGGGUGAUGCCGGUACCGGGGGAAUAAGGAUCGGCUAACUCCGUG